GCGCAGGUCCGCCUUGUCGCUGCCGAUCAUCUUCGAUCGGGGGAGGAAAGUCCGGGCAACAUAGAGCACCACGCAGGUUAACGGCCUGAUGGGCGUGAGCUUAUGGCAAGUGUAACAGAAAAUAACCGCCCCGUUGGGAGAUUCAUCGAAUCAUCUGCGACGAGGUAAGGGUGAAAAGGCGGGGUAAGAGCCCACCGCGAGGGCAGCAAUGUCACUCGGUCAGUACAUCCCGUGGGUUGCAAGACCAUGUAUACCGACAAUGAAGGGUUGCUCGCCCGAUGUCGGGGGGUAGGUUGCUGGAGGCGGUGUGAGAGCACCGUCGUAGAUAAAUGACAGGGGGCCGCGAAGGGUGGUGGCGACGUUUGGUCGCUGUGAUCCGAGUAGCGGUAACAGAACCCGGCUUAUAGGAUCUGCAAACAA
RNAcentral lists this RNase P RNA (420 nucleotides) under Alistipes sp. Its description in RNAcentral is "RNase P RNA component class A". It matches the Rfam family "Bacterial RNase P class A". From Rfam's summary of the family: Ribonuclease P (RNase P) is a ubiquitous endoribonuclease, found in archaea, bacteria and eukarya as well as chloroplasts and mitochondria. The record is from RNAcentral. Lineage: Bacteria; Pseudomonadati; Bacteroidota; Bacteroidia; Bacteroidales; Rikenellaceae.